Molecule: ribosomal RNA, 336 nt
Filed under: uncultured Polynucleobacter sp.
Lineage: Bacteria; Pseudomonadati; Pseudomonadota; Betaproteobacteria; Burkholderiales; Burkholderiaceae
Description: bacterial SSU rRNA
Rfam family: Bacterial small subunit ribosomal RNA
Source: RNAcentral
CACCGGCUCUAACACAGUCCGGGAAUGACGGUACCUGAAGAAUAAGCACCGGCUAACUACCUGCCAGCAGCCGCGGUAAUACGUAGGGUGCAAGCGUUAAUCGGAAUUACUGGGCGUAAAGCGUGCGCAGGCGGUUAUACAAAACAGGCGUGAAAUCCCCGGGCUUAACCUGGGAAUGGCGCCUGUGACUGUAUAGCUAGAGUGUGUCAAAGGGGGGUAGAAUUCCACGUGUAGCAGUGAAAUGCGUAAAUAUGUGGAGGAAUACCAAUGGCGAAGGCAGCCCCCUGGGAUAACACUGACGCUCAUGCACGAAAGCGUGGGGAGCAAACAGGAUUA